Molecule: non-coding RNA, 30 nt
Filed under: Mus musculus (house mouse)
Lineage: Eukaryota; Metazoa; Chordata; Mammalia; Rodentia; Muridae
Source: RNAcentral
GACUUGAGAUGGACUUCUGUACAGUGGCCC